This 72-nucleotide transfer RNA is filed under the name Aequorivita lutea. RNAcentral describes it as "Aequorivita sp. q18 tRNA-Gly". The stretch from base 15 to 72 matches the Rfam family "tRNA". From Rfam's summary of the family: Transfer RNA (tRNA) molecules are approximately 80 nucleotides in length. Their secondary structure includes four short double-helical elements and three loops (D, anti-codon, and T loops). Further hydrogen bonds mediate the characteristic L-shaped molecular structure. tRNAs have two regions of fundamental functional importance: the anti-codon, which is responsible for specific mRNA codon recognition, and the 3' end, to which the tRNAs corresponding amino acid is attached (by aminoacyl-tRNA synthetases). tRNAs cope with the degeneracy of the genetic code in two manners: having more than one tRNA (with a specific anti-codon) for a particular amino acid; and 'wobble' base-pairing, i.e. permitting non-standard base-pairing at the 3rd anti-codon position. Lineage: Bacteria; Pseudomonadati; Bacteroidota; Flavobacteriia; Flavobacteriales; Flavobacteriaceae. The record is from RNAcentral.
GAUCAGCUCGGCUGGAUAGCGCAUCCCGAUUUCCAAUCGGGACGGUCAGGGGUUCGAAUCCCUUCGCGAUCA